CUGUGUCAGCGGUGCAAUUGCGUAGAUAUAGAAGGGAACACCAGUCGCGAAUGGCGACCACCUGUACUGACUACCUGACACUUGGAGGUGUGGAAAAGCCUUGGCAGCAAAACACGGGAUUAGAUUACCUUGGUUAGGUCACGCCGUAAAACGAUGUCAACUUAGCGGUUGGAAUCCCUGAAGUUUUAGGGGCGCCAGUUACGCAAUAAGUUGACCGCCUUGGGAGGACCGCCCCCAGGGUAAAACUCAAAAUAAAUUGCCGGGGGCCGCACCAGCCGUUGGGCCUGUGGGUUUAUUUGAAGCCAAGCGAAGGACCUUACCUGGGCCUGACCUGGUGGAGACUUUCCAGAGAAGGAAUUGGUGCUUCGGGGAAUUAAGCCAAGGUGGCGCAUUGCUGUCGUCCGCUCCUGUCCUGAGAUUGUUGGUUAAAUUCCGUUACGAGGGCCACCCUUGUCCUUAGUUACCCGCCCGUUAUGGUGGGCACUCUAAGGAGACUGCCGGUGACAAACCGGAGGAAGGUGGGGAUGACGUCAAGUCAUCAUGGCCCUUACGGCCAGGGCUACACACGUGCUACAAUGGUCGGUACAAAGGGUUGCCAAGCCGCGAGGUGGAGCUAAUCCCAUAAAACCGAUCGUAGUCCGGAUCGCAGUCUGCAACUCGACUGCGUGAAGUCGGAAUCGCUAGUAAUCGUGAAUCAGAAUGUCACGGUGAAUACGUUCCCGGGCCUUGUACACACCGCCCGUCACACCAUGGGAGUGGGUUGCUCCAGAACGUAGUAAAUCUAGCACACGGUGUACGAGAGCACAGAGAACUACAGAUC
Molecule: ribosomal RNA, 820 nt
Filed under: Ectopseudomonas mendocina
Lineage: Bacteria; Pseudomonadati; Pseudomonadota; Gammaproteobacteria; Pseudomonadales; Pseudomonadaceae
Description: bacterial SSU rRNA
Rfam family: Bacterial small subunit ribosomal RNA
Source: RNAcentral